AUUGAACGCUGGCGGAAUGCUUUACACAUGCAAGUCGAACGGCAGCAUAGGUGCUUGCACCUGAUGGCGAGUGGCGAACGGGUGAGUAAUACAUCGGAACGUGCCCAGUCGUGGGGGAUAACGUAGCGAAAGUUACGCUAAUACCGCAUACGAUCUACGGAUGAAAGCGGGGGACCGUAAGGCCUCGCGCGAUUGGAGCGGCCGAUGUUAGAUUAGGUAGUUGGUGGGGUAAAGGCUCACCAAGCCGACGAUCUAUAGCUGGUCUGAGAGGAUGAUCAGCCACACUGGGACUGAGACACGGCCCAGACUCCUACGGGAGGCAGCAGUGGGGAAUUUUGGACAAUGGGCGCAAGCCUGAUCCAGCCAUUCCGCGUGCAGGACGAAGGCCUUCGGGUUGUAAACUGCUUUUGUACAGAACGAAAAGCUCUGGGUUAAUACCUCGGGGUAAUGACGGUACUGUAAGAAUAAGCACCGGCUAACUACGUG
Molecule: ribosomal RNA, 486 nt
Filed under: uncultured bacterium
Lineage: Bacteria
Description: bacterial SSU rRNA
Rfam family: Bacterial small subunit ribosomal RNA
Source: RNAcentral